UUGGUAUUGAAACACUUGAAGAUGAGAAAUUGUUAAAUCUCUUGAUGUUGAAGAUGGUUAUCUCCCGUCAAAGCGUUCGGAUUCUUGGUUAAAGGUGAAGUGAAAUUAUGUCGAAGGUUUAAAUGAUUUCUUGGGCUUGGUUCCUAUUGGUGCUUGGUACGGGAAUGGAAGGAAUGCUGGCUGGUACAGUCCAUUUCUCAUGGCUUGCUAUGAUCCCGACACUGAUGAAUAUCAAAGUGUCAGUCGUGUAAUGUCCGGCUUCAGGAAGGUGAA
Long non-coding RNA from Helianthus annuus (common sunflower), 273 nucleotides. RefSeq lists it as uncharacterized. The record is from RefSeq and is a predicted model, not a curated record. The transcript is spliced from 3 exons. Lineage: Eukaryota; Viridiplantae; Streptophyta; Magnoliopsida; Asterales; Asteraceae.